UGAGGAAUAUUGGUCAAUGGGCGAGAGCCUGAACCAGCCACGUCGCGUGAAGGAAGACUGACCUUACGGUUUGUAAACUUCUUUUGUAGAGGGGUAAUGGCAGAUACGUGUAUUUGCGUGAAAGUACUCUACGAAUAAGCAUCGGCUAACUCCGUGCCAGCAGCCGCGGUAAUACGGUGGAUGCGAGCGUUAUCCGGAAUUAUUGGGUUUAAAGGGUGCGCAGGUGGCUAAUCAGGUCAGUGGUGAAAAGCUAUGGCUCAACCAUGGUCUUGCCAUUGAAACCGUAUAGCUAGAGAGGAGACGAGGUAGGCGGAAUGUGUGGUGUAGCGGUGAAAUGCAUAGAUAUCACACAGAACUCCGAUUGCGAAGGCAGCUUACCAGGCUUUAUCUGACACUUAGGAACGACAGCGUGGGGAUCAAACAGG
Molecule: ribosomal RNA, 425 nt
Filed under: Verrucomicrobiota bacterium
Lineage: Bacteria; Pseudomonadati; Verrucomicrobiota
Description: Verrucomicrobia bacterium partial 16S ribosomal RNA
Rfam family: Bacterial small subunit ribosomal RNA
Source: RNAcentral